This is a non-coding RNA of Xyrichtys novacula (pearly razorfish), 993 nucleotides long. Lineage: Eukaryota; Metazoa; Chordata; Actinopteri; Labriformes; Labridae. The record is from the annotation of a GenBank genome assembly.
CUGUCUGUCUGUCUGUCUGUCUGUCAGUCAACAGUGACCCGGUCAGACUUCAGUCCGGACUGCUUUUCGAUCUGAACUCAGUGACUCGUCUUCACCUCAGAGAAGAUCUUUGAACACUUUUCCCUCCACACUCGCCUCCUCUCCUGCCUCCUAAUUCCUCUCCUCCUCUCCUUGCCUCUCCUCCUUCUCCUUCCUCUCCUUGUAUCCUCUGUCCUCGUUGUAAUAUCCCGUGUGUGCUGACAGUGAAAACAUCAGGGGUCAAAGGUCAGUGAGUGUUGGCCUCUCUCCUCUCUGAUAUGAAUUCCUCUCUAAUCACUGCAGAUAUAAAUACUUUGUGUAUAAAUACUUCAUAUGUGUACUCUGUGUGUGUGAGAGAGAAUGAGUGAGCUCCCAUCAUGCAUCACUCUGACCAUAACACUGUGUGACAGCAGGCGUGUGUGUGUGUGUGUGUGUGUGUGUGUGUGUGUGUGUGUCUCAUGUUUAAACUCUUCAGAGCAGCUUCAGUUCAAGAACUCUGAGGACUCAGGACUCUCUCUGUCCUGGUCUCUGAUUGGACACAUGAAAACCCCUCAUUUCAGCUCCUGUCUCUCUAAGAGGCUUCAGAGACCUUCAACAUUCUAGAACCCUCAACAUUCAAUGACUCCACCAUUCUGUAGAUCUACACGUUCUAGAUUCCACCUCAGGAGCUGUAGAGAAAAAAGAGGACUUGAGCACAAACCAGUCUGACAGUAACUACAUGUCAACAUCACAACCAGGGGGGAGAAACAUUUAUAUUCUGUGUCAUUCAUUUAUAAAGUUUGUCCACAGCUCCAUAAGGAGGCGGGGUUUAUGACCUAUACUGCAGCCCGUCACCAGAGGGCGCUGUUCUUACAGAGGAGGAGGAAGCAGACGGCGUCUGUUCUUUAUACAGCUCAUGGUCUGAACACUAAACAUCAGUCAGCUGUUCUCUGUGUGACCUUUGACACCUGUGACAUCAUCGUCGGUGUAACCAUG